This 442-nucleotide long non-coding RNA is filed under the name Phoenix dactylifera (date palm). Its description in RNAcentral is "long non-coding RNA (PDAC_LNC020513)". The record is from RNAcentral. Lineage: Eukaryota; Viridiplantae; Streptophyta; Magnoliopsida; Arecales; Arecaceae.
ACCAACUUGAAUAGUGGUACCAAGUAGCUAACAGGUAUGUAUGCAUAUUGGAUCUCCAUUCAAAUCCGGCCAGCUCUAUAUUGGACAACGAGAGUCCUAUAUCGAUGAUCUGAGCUAUUGAAUGUGAAACAUGUGAUUUAGAGACCCUAAGUCUAUACAUCAAGUGGUCAAAAAAUUGAAUAGUCUAAAUAACUUGAAAUUAUAUAUAUAUACAUAUAUAUUUUUAUCACUUUAUAUAUAAUCUAGGGAUCUCCAAAUUAUAUGAGUUUUAGUGUAAGUAGUUUAAAGUUAGUAGAUUACAUCCAAGGGCUUGGGCCAUCGAUAUAAGACCUCCAAUGAAUAGUGUAGACCUGACCAAAUCUGAGUAAAGUUAGUGUAAGUAGUUAAAGUUAGUAGAUUACAUCCAAGGGCUUGGGCCAUCGAUAUAAGACCUCCAAUGAAU